AGUCUCAAUGGACAGGCAGACUGCGUGCUGGCACGCAAGGCUGUAUGAACAUUUGAGACGCUAACCCGUAUGAGCAAGAAGCACGGUAGUGCGGAUUGCGAAUACGGGUAGGAUUGCAGGAGCACGCAGUGCGGAGCAAUCCGUGGC
This 147-nucleotide small RNA is filed under the name chicken gut metagenome. RNAcentral's name for it is "Clostridiales-1 RNA". It matches the Rfam family "Clostridiales-1 RNA". The record is from RNAcentral.